GAUGAACGCUGGCGGUAUGCUUAACACAUGCAAGUCGAACGGACUCUUCGGAGUUAGUGGCGGACGGGUGAGUAACGCGUGAGAAUCUGGCUUUGGGUUCGGGACAACCACUGGAAACGGUGGCUAAAACGGGAUGUGCGGAGGGGAAAAGGAGAAAUUGCCUGAAGAUGAGCUCGCGUCUGAUUAGCUAGUUGGUGAGGUAAAGGCUCACCAAGGCAGCGAUCAGUAGCUGGUCUGAGAGGAUGACCAGCCACACUGGGACUGAGACACGGCCCAGACUCCUACGGGAGGCAGCAGUGGGGAAUUUUCCGCAAUGGGCGAAAGCCUGACGGAGCAAUACCGCGUGAGGGAAGAAGGCUCUUGGGUUGUAAACCUCUUUUCUUAGGGAAGAACAAAAUGACGGUACCUAAGGAAUCAGCAUCGGCUAACUCCGUG
Molecule: ribosomal RNA, 435 nt
Filed under: uncultured bacterium
Lineage: Bacteria
Description: partial 16S ribosomal RNA
Rfam family: Bacterial small subunit ribosomal RNA
Source: RNAcentral